Molecule: long non-coding RNA, 220 nt
Filed under: Mytilus galloprovincialis (Mediterranean mussel)
Lineage: Eukaryota; Metazoa; Mollusca; Bivalvia; Mytilida; Mytilidae
Source: RNAcentral
CUCUGAAAUAGGUUAUUUUUCAUCAAACUAUUUUACUAAAGUAAUCGAAAUGUAAUCGAAAAGUAAUCGAUGAUUACAUCCAAAUAUUUACUGUAAUCGAUUAAAUUACGAUUACAUGUAAUCGAAAAUGUCUUCGAUUACAGAUUACUGUCGAUUACUUGAAAAAAUGUAAUCAAUUACAAUCGAUUACGAUUACAGAUUACGAUUACCCCAUCCCUGG